UACGAAGGGUGCAAACGUUGCUCGGAAUUAUUGGGCGUAAAGCGCACGUAGGCGGCUUAGCAAGUCGGAAGUGAAAUCCCUCGGCUCAACCAAGGAAGUGCUUUCGAAACUGCUGAGCUUGAGUACUUAAGAGGAUCGCGGAAUUCCCGGUGUAGAGGUGAAAUUCGUAGAUAUCGGGAGGAACACCAGUGGCGAAGGCGGCGAUCUGGGGAAGAUACUGACGCUGAGGUGCGAAAGCGUGGGGAGCAAACAGG
RNAcentral lists this ribosomal RNA (254 nucleotides) under uncultured bacterium. RNAcentral's name for it is "partial 16S ribosomal RNA". It matches the Rfam family "Bacterial small subunit ribosomal RNA", at positions 524 to 776 of the family's 1533-position model. The record is from RNAcentral.